RNAcentral lists this small RNA (17 nucleotides) under Arabidopsis thaliana (thale cress). Its description in RNAcentral is "ATSL062680". The record is from RNAcentral. Lineage: Eukaryota; Viridiplantae; Streptophyta; Magnoliopsida; Brassicales; Brassicaceae.
AAGGGUAGUAAAAAAAA